Molecule: ribosomal RNA, 440 nt
Filed under: uncultured bacterium
Lineage: Bacteria
Description: partial 16S ribosomal RNA
Rfam family: Bacterial small subunit ribosomal RNA
Source: RNAcentral
CCUACGGGGGGCAGCAGUAGGGGAUAUUGCACAAUGGGGGAAACCCUGAUGCAGCAACGCCGCGUGGGUGAAGAAGCGUCUCGGCGCGUAAAGCCCUGUCGGCAGAGAAGAAAAUGACGGUACCUGAAGAAUAAGCACCGGCUAACUACGUGCCAGCAGCCGCGGUAAUACGUAGGGGGCAAGCGUUAUUCGGAUUUACUGGGUGUAAAGGGGGCGCAGACGGGGAUGCAAGCCAGGAGUGAAAGCCUGGGGCCUAACCACGGGACUGCGUUUGGAACUGCUUGGCUAGAGUGUAGGAGGGGUAGGUGGAAUUCUUGGUGUAGCGGUGAAAUGCGUAGAGAUCAGGAGGAACACUGGUGGCGAAGGCGGCCUGCUGGACCGUAACUGACGCUGAGGCGCGAAAGCGUGGGGAGCAAACAGGAUUAGAUACCCGUGUAGUC